Neodiprion virginianus is the source of this 3702-nucleotide RNA transcript. It is a transcript of the gene named cysteine-rich and transmembrane domain-containing protein 1-like, with no coding region annotated. NCBI's taxonomy places the organism in Eukaryota, Metazoa, Arthropoda, Insecta, Hymenoptera, Diprionidae. The record is from RefSeq and is a predicted model, not a curated record. The transcript has 5 exons.
GAGUCUGAAAGUCAGAGGCCGAUUCACCGCGACGCGUCACGACGCGGCGAAAUGUUUUCCAACUACAGCUAUCGCGUAGGCCGCGUUCUCGCCUCGCGGCGACUCAUUGUCGUCAGUCAGUCAGUGUUGGCGCUCCGUAUCGUCGACAUCCAUCCAGUCAUUCGUCGGUCGAGCAAGUCCUGCGAGCCGUUCGUCUCUGCAUUUAACGACGCGCCGUCAUGUACCCCGGGAAUAACAACUACCAGUACAACCCGCAGUACGGCAAUCAGCCGCCUCCCCCGCAAGGCUACCCGAUGUACGGACCUCCGCCGCCUUAUGGUGCCCCGCCAAUUACGCAGCAGCCACCCCCAGGUACGACGGUCUACGUCGUUCCCGCCCAGGAACAGCAACGGUCAACGGGAAUGAGUGCGGAGUCGGCUCUUUGCUGCGGGUGCUGUUUAGGACUCUGUCUCGGGUGCGGACCUUGCGACCUCUGUUGCUGCUAGUUCCAAAUCACCGGGGGUAACAAGUGGUUGCCAACGAUGCGAUCCGGGCGAUGAUUAUACCGAUUUCCAAUGAACGACGAUGGAUUUAUCGACGCCCUGGGAAAACCGGAGCGGAUGUUGACUGAUUGCCUUACGCCGUGUAGGGGAAAAAGUCGUCAAGAACAGUUGGUGGAAUCUUGUCGGUGUGUGCGAAUGUGUGUCAGUGUGGGUGAGUGUGCGCCGUGAUAAUGGAUUCUUAAGAUAUGUGAAACCUGUUGUAUAGAUAAAAGAAAUAAAAUUUUCAACCUCGAGUCUGGCGCGAUGAGGCACAGUUCGGGCUAAUCGUGAAUAACAAGACGCUUAAGUGGUCGGGCACGUCGGUAAAGUAAUUAAAUAUCAUAAUUGUGUAAAUAUUAGGUAACGGUUGAAGGUGCUCAGUAAAAUAAUUAACAGAUAAACGUGCCAGUUAUACUUUAAUUUAUUUAUUAUCCCCUCUCUCUCUCUCUCUUUCUCUCUCUCUUUAUUUCUUUCUUUCUCUGGAUCCCACCAAUCCAUGCGAUUUCGAAAUAUAAUAUAACAUCAUCCCGAUCGAACUGCGCUGAAAUGCGUUUUCACCUAAUAUCGUGAAUCGCCAAAACGUAAAGGCCUUCGAUCGAUUAUAUUCAAGCUCUCCUCCGUCAUUAUCUCAGUUCGUGUGAUUGGGAAUAUUUUUUUCCAUGUUCAAUUGCAAAUCAGGAUACCAUACAACGGUACGAGCCUCUGGUUUAUUGUUGUUGUUGUAGAAACAACGUGCGAACUAAAAAUUAGUACUUGAGUCGUAAAGAGGUUAGUUCUUUCGCUAUUGUUUGUAUACCUACCUAUACGAGACCGUUACAAAAGAUAGCAUUCGCUCACGAGUUAUAUCACCAACGACUUCGCUGCGUUAAUUAACGUACCGUAUACAAAAUUCCGAGAGCUUAAUGGCGGCUGAAUUUGCGCGACGAUAACGAAUCGCGAUAAUGAUCGAUAGCAUCGAUUCGAAAAACGGUAUCACGGGCCUUGCGAUCCGAUAUUUUAUACUCCUCUUACAGGUACGUCACUGACUGAAAUACGCAACACAUGUUGUCACACAGUUGCUGCAGGAAGCUCACGGAUUCCGCAGUAGACGAUAAAACCUUGGCUGGUGAACACUGGGUGGUAACUUAUUUCCGAACCGAGGAGGACCGGAUACCAUCAUCUCCUACGACUCCUACACUUUGACGAUACGCCGAGUCACGUUAUGAUCAACAAGGCGAGAGAGGCAACGUCAGCGGCUGGCAGAUCUGUGCCAAAUAGUGCAAAUCGUACGGACGAUCCGCCGCCACCUUACAGCCUCUACAAACCGUCAAUGGCGGCCGAACCACCCCCGCCACCCCUCGAACCUCCAGCAUUGACUUCGGAGCAACCUCCAGGUUGGCGUAACGGCAGAUCGAAUUUGUUCAGAAAAUCUAAUACUUGUACGGACUAACUUUCCGAAUCAUUAUUCCGAUCCUAUUCAGCUGUAAUAACCGAGGUUAUACCUGGUCCUGGUUCACAAACGGAAAACUCUUCGAAUUACCACUUGACGUCGGGAGAGAGCAUCAAGGCUGCCUGCUGUAUAGUGUUAUGCUGGUUCUGGAUCCCGUUCGCUUUCUGCAUCGACUGUUGUGCCAGAACUUACCCACAGUUAAGGCCCAAACGGUAUCGGUAGAGAAAAGGCCGUCUUUCGCUCCUGAACUCACCUUCAAGAGGACGAAUUGCAACGUUUAAGAUGUCAAGCUCGUUUUUAAGAACCAAGUGAGCCAGGGCAAAGCCUAGGCGUGGAAUGCUGUUUUUAGUUUGGCCAAAAUACGCGUGCGCGUGAUUGGGACCAUGUGAAAGCGAUCGCUGCAAGUUUACAGUGAGAACUAUGAUAUUGCAUAAAUGCAGAUGAAUUCACUCUAUGCUAAAUUGCCCGUAUAGCAAUUACCAAAUAAUCAAUCCGAAACGUAUGAAUAACGCUGCGGGCACCAUUCGACCGGUGUAAUUUUAAAAUUUGGGAGCAGCACAAAUUCACUCUUAACGUCGUAACUAUUUUCCGAACAAGUCAAUUUCUUACGCACCAUUAGACUUGAGUCAGUUCAUUGAUUACCAGCAAUUCGAACGUGCCAUACUCAACAAGUGACAAUUUUUCAGUUGAAUAAUUUUACUGUCGGUACGCACGAUCGAAGUUGAUGGGAUUUUUUGAACAUUCUGAAAUUAUUAUGAAACUACGACGUUUGAUGUGAAAUCAAAUAUCGGCUUUGAAAUUUUAUCGGCAUCCGGAAUAUGUUGUCGAAAAAAUGUUAUUCUUCAUUUUUGUGUAAGGAUAACGAAUUACCGGUGAUGAGUAAAUUCAAAUAGUUUUUCGGAAAUCAAUUUUUUUCCUUUUUGCCAAGGAAAUACGGAACUUCGCAAUAAUUCGUUUGGUACAAGACAGCUGAAUCUGUUUUCUCUCCACUUACCAGCAUUAUCUCGUAUUUAUACCGAUCUCCUUGAGCACGUUUCAAUAGUAUUAUCUUAAUCUUAGUUUCCAAUUUUUAUGGUCUAUACCUCAGCUGUUAACUGCGGCUGAUUACACCUGACAUAUUUUACUGUGCUAUACACACACAUAAUAAGUAUAAUCAUAUACCUAGUCACAUGUUCUAAUUAACAAGACAUUUAUAAUACAUACUGUUUUCAUUCAAUACGACUGUCGCUGCUUCGAUUUACAGUGUGUGAGUGUCCCACUGAAAAAAACUGAGACACAGUUCGGCUAGUAUUGUAUGAGGAAAAAACUGAAUCACCAUAAGUGAAUCUUUACACGAUACUCAUGACGUACCAAGACGCAGUUACGUAUCCUUGUCACGUGUCGUGAAGCGUGGCUUCCCACAAAGGCGCAUCAUAUCCGGACCUCACUUCCGCACAACGAUCGACUUAACGAGAACCUACGGUUUCUUUUUCUUUAUACAUUUUCACGCUGUGCCAUGUGCGUAUCAAUAUGAAUACGGUUUCAAUACGUAAGGAUCUGCGGCUGCUUAUGCUAUAAAUAAUUCCAGCCAAACGUAAGCAGCUGCUGCUUGUAUCAUAUUAUAUACAAAUGACAUCACACGGUAGUUCGGAAACGUUACGAUUUCGUUCGUUACUUUGUAAUUUUUAAUCAAUAAUCAAAACUUCAAUCUUUUACGUACGUUAAAAAUCGGCAAAUAAACAAAAACGCCAAGUCUACCGCUUUAACUGUUUU